This 4697-nucleotide long non-coding RNA is filed under the name Triticum aestivum (bread wheat). RNAcentral's name for it is "long non-coding RNA (TAES_LNC009134)". The stretch from base 753 to 887 matches the Rfam family "MIR1120/MIR1122 microRNA precursor family". The record is from RNAcentral. Lineage: Eukaryota; Viridiplantae; Streptophyta; Magnoliopsida; Poales; Poaceae.
CCUUUAAUUUGUCUUCCAGAGUCCUCAAUGCCAGCUUAAACUUGUAUGCUUGCAGGAAGGACAACUUGCAGAAAAGGUUAUAAUAAAUACAGUUAAUACUGCUACCACGUACUAGAGGAAAUGCAGUCACCUACUGCUCUUCCUUGAUGCCGCCCUGGUCACUCUCGGCAUAGGUGCCAUCCAUGAGCUUCCUGGUAUAAUUCUUCUCCCCAUUGCAUCUCUGUUUCAAAGUAAACAUAACAAAGGUCAGGACGGAGAUAAUUAAGUAUCCUAAUAUCAAAUGGACAACAAAGACGACUGGCUAGUACAAUGACAGGAAAAUAUUACGUACGCUAGAAAGUCAAAAUGGCAUUUAUUUUUAAACUCCAGGGGUAUAGGUUAAAUGUCUUGAUAUCGCAUACAUGCAACUUUCCACUAUACAGCACUGCAGUAAAACAAACCUCUAAUCGUAGAAGAACAAAUGACAAGCAAUCACAAGUUAGCCACAGUCAACUUGUAGCAUUGUCCACUGGAAGGAAAAUUUUCACUACGAUAUAUCUGAAUUAGGAACCAUGCAUAAGAAAUAUACAAUCCACUAAACAAGCAUCCUUCCAAUAUAUACAUCAUCAUACUGAAAAAAAAUUCUACUUUUGUAGUCCAAACAUUUUAGUUUCGCAUUUAAGUGCGACUGAUAGUUUAGAGAACAGUGAUGCAGCAGAAUGAUGGUCCAAGCUAAGAUAACAAACAAGCCAUUUUUCACCGCCACCAUGAAUUUACUACUCCCUUCGUCCCGAAUUACUUGUCUUAGAUUUGGUCUAGAUACGGAUGUAUCUAGACACGUUUUAGUGCUAGAUACAUCUGUAGCUAGACAAAUCUAAGACAGUAAAUUGGGACAGAGGUAAUAUUAUGAAACUGUGAGAAGAACAAAUUCAGAAGAAUGCCAUACGUUGUGGAACACAAGUGUUAACAGAAGUAACCAUUCCCAGUAUCCUGCCUGUCGUAGUAUCAUACUUCAGUACAUGUCAAGCAAACGACAAUGACAGCCAUCGACACUAUCGAAUCUAAUUCUCUAACUAGUCUUGAGUCCAUAUAAAUCCUUCCAUUCUCUAAGAGCAUCUACAGCCGGACUCCCCAAAUUGACCAGGCGGACGCAGGACCACUGACCUGACAGGAGAGAGAAGGAAAAAGUUGAUCCAACCGGACCCCACUCAAAGCCUCCCUAAACGUCCGGGCUGUCCAACAGUCCUCAUAUUGCCCCCAUUUAUCAACAGAACAAACACCUAAAGAAUGUGGAGGACCUAUGACAUGCAUGUGUCGAUUCCUACGACACUGUGCAUACUGAUAAUGCAUAAAUCAACAUGUCUAAUUUUGCAAUAUUUGUAUAGACUCAGUGGCUCCAUGUUUAUGUUGUUUAUUUUUUUCGUUAAACAUUAUAAUGCUACAAUGGAUAUAAAAAGUAAAAAUUUUGUUCCAAAGUCAUUAUAUAUGUCACACAUGGAAGCUUUUCAAAAUGUUCUCAUACAUAAAAUAAAGCAUACACAAAUUCUACCUUGGAAAACUGUCACCCCUUUCUGCAACAAGAUGUUGCAGUCUUGACGAAGCAAAUAUAUUUUUCAACCAAUACAAAAUUCUAAGCUAUGGUGUCAUGAUGUGCCCAGCCUGUAAAAACGAUGGAUGGGUGUCUCACCCUCUUCUUCUUUCAAUAUAAGAUACGCAUACUCAUGCGUAUUCUAGAAAAAAAAUCGAAGCUAUUAUCUUUAUACAUACAGUUUGCAUGGGCCAUCUAAAAAUAUGUUUCAUGGGACCAUUCUUGCUGACAGCUUCUUCUUUGUUGAGACUAGGGAGAUGCAUUUAAGAUAUUUACUACUCCCUCCGUCCCAUAAUAUAAGAGCGUUUUUGACACUACUAUAUUUUAUGGGACGGAGGGAGUAGUAUCCAGAAUUUGUUAUCUGACCAUUAACGCAAACUACUCAUUUCACUAAGGAAUUAGGAGUCAAUUACUUGAUAUGACUGUUUAAAGCUCCACAGUUCACUUCACUAAGGAUAGGAGAAGUCGGUUAGUUGAUCUGACUGUUUACAGCUCCGCAAUUUUUCAGAAUAUCCUAGCUCUCUUCAGAUUCAGAUAUCUGAAUGACUAUCAUGAUACGCAAAAAGGAUGUGAAUUCUGAAAUGCAUGUUGUUAUAUGUUCUUAAACAUUUAACAAGCUUAGGAAAAACAUCGUCAAGCUUGUGACAAGAAAAGAUGCGAAAACUCGCCAUUAUUAUCAUCCCUUGAUCUUUUAGGCUUGUUUAAGGAAAUAAGCACGGCAAGAUCACUUCAGGCAAAAUGUGCAACAACUGCAGCUGAAGCCUGAUUUUGAAGAUUGCAAGUUGGUAGGGCGUCAGUUGUCAUUAGGAUCGGUCCACCUUUGCCAUGUACUAAUUUUCAUAUAUAUUAUUUAUUACGAGUUGUUCUUUUACUUGAUUUUAGCAUCUGUUGGCAGUCCUUAUACCAAAAAAAUAGCAAGCGUCAAAUAUAUUGUGAACAAAUCAUGUUAGAAUUUUUCUUUUCACUGCACUAUUCCUUAGUACAAAUGAUACCCAAGCAGAUUCUUUGCCUUAGGGGCCCGUCAUAUUUAAAGGGACUCUUGCGUAAUCUUUUGGCAACUAGGAAAAUUCUAUUUUCUUUAAUCUAUCCACAUGGUCCUUCUCGACGCGCAAGGGACACCCUCAUCAUCCAUGCAACACCCGUAUUACAAAAGUGUGCCCCCUAUAAUGAGCACCAAUAAGCGCCAUGUAAUAUUACCACAGUACACAAGUGAUUUCAAAUCUUCUUAUGGCAAGCAUUCUUAUGGAAAACAUAUUGUUAAAAUAUCUCAAAGGAAUCAAUCAUAUACCUAACACAUUUCGACAGUGUAAUGGACAUACAUUACAAAUUCUGUAAGCUCAACAACGGCAGUAUACAUUCAUGCAAAAAAAAGGGCAGUAUACAGAUAAUCCAAGGGCCAAAAGACAAACCUUGCAGCAUCAUACUUGAGCGUUGGGAAUGUGGGAGGCCAGAUCAUCAUAAAAGGAUGGAUAUUAAAACCCAAACGACCAUUUUUUGCUUCAUACACCUUACGCAGUGUCCUGCACUUGAUGUCCAACUGGAGUGCACAUUCACCCAUCUUCAAGAACACAAAGUCACCAUAGUCCACCACCUGGUUCAGUGUUAGGAGUCUAUUCAUCCUCGAUUGUGCAACAUGAAUUCCUCAAGUUAGCACACAUCUCACGCAAAAAAAAGGUAUCCACCAGUGACCAGUUUCCCCCCUUGUAGAGCCAGAUGCGAAGUUGAAACUCCUCAACAUGGAUGAGAUAUACACCAGAAGCAUCAUGAGCACGUGCCAACAUAGUGGUGCCGGUGACGCCAUGCGCCACACCUUGCGGAAGCCGAAUUGUAGAGAGACUCAAGUCCGACAAAUCCAAAACAAUAAUGGCACUCUCGGCAGCCGCCAUGUAGAUUUUAUUAUCAACGAGCACAGCUUUCAGUUUCCAUCGUGGUUCAGGGAAGUUGUCUAUGUCCAAGAGAUGAUGCGUCCAUCGGGAACCAUCUUGCAACAUAUAUACGUGUAGGAUAGAUUCUGUUUCUGCGCGCCUGCUAGACUCCACAUACAAGUAGUAGUAGGACAUGCCAUCCCCUUCUUCUUUGGAAAGAACUUGUUUGAAAGUGCAGUUACGCUCGAGUCCAGGGCGUGGGAGUUGUGGGAGGUUGGAUAGAUCUCUCUCGGGGCACAACAGGCAGUGCACUCUGGCUGAGUUUCCGCUUCUGCCAUUGUACAAGGUGAAGAAGAUGCUGCCGUUCUGGCAGUCCUGGAUUGUAGCAGACCUGGCAUUGUUGGUUUCCAAUUUGAAGCUUGCACGGCGGACGACAACAGCAAGCUCUGGGGGCUGAGGCAGCACUGGGACAACACUGAUGUCAAGCCGGGCGGAAGAUCAAAGUCGUCGAUGUAGAAGCCGAGGAGGCGGGGCGGGUGGAGCUCGCGGAAACGGCGAAGGAAGGCGCGGUCGGAGGCAUGCCCUAGCCAGCGCUUGCAGACGAGGGCGGCGCAGACGAGGGUGGUGGGGAAACCGACGCGGAGAAGGAUUUCGAUGAGGAGGUCGUCAUCGUCGAGCACCUUGGAUACGGUGACUGCUGCGGCCGCCGGUGGCUGCCUCUCGCCUCCCAUUUCUUUAUUGGCGUCCGUGGGGAACGGGGUGGAGGAAGAGGAAACUGUCUGUAUACCAUUGCAAUUUUUAUCAAUCUCUAAAAUACCACUAAAUAUUUCGCUGUUGCGAAAAUACCACUACUUUGAAAGUUCACAUCCAAAAUACCACUAAAUAUGUACUAACUGAAGCUAGCAGGGCAUGGAAAAGACAAUUCAGCCGUACCUGUUCACAAGAUGGAUUCUUCAUGCCUUGUCUCCUUUUGUCACAUCAAUUUUCAGCAGCAUAACGGCUGUAUAACAGCAAGAUGACAUACCUAAACCCUAACAUUUUAAAGACGAUAUAAGCGCAGCACCUUUAACAGAACUACAAAAGGACUGUCCGAUGUUCAGAGUUCACACACACAAGCAAAAGACACGACAAAUAAACUCUAGAAAUGAAAGAGGAGGAGAAAGGGAUUCACACUUGGCCGAAAUUUCUUCCAAGAUCGCCAUGGACGAAGGCUGCAGCGCUUGUGGGGCGACGGUGGAAGAGGGCCUGGGGCCGGUGCCGAACAG